GAUUCAUCGGCUGCGGAUGGCCAUGCGGCGCAUUAGCUAGUCGGCGGGGUAACGGCCCACCGAGGCGACGAUGCGUAGGGGUUCUGAGAGGAAGGUCCCCCACACUGGUACUGAGACACGGACCAGACUCCUACGGGAGGCAGCAGUGAGGAAUAUUGGUCAAUGGCCGGGAGGCUGAACCAGCCAAGUCGCGUGAGGGAAGACGGCCCUACGGGUUGUAAACCUCUUUUGUCAGGGAGCAAGAGGCGGGUCGAGACCUGCUGUGAGAGUACCUGAAGAAAAAGCAUCGGCUAACUCCGUGCCAGCAGCCGCGGUAAUACGGAGGAUGCGAGCGUUAUCCGGAUUUAUUGGGUUUAAAGGGUGCGCAGGCGGAGGCACAAGUCAGCGGUAAAAUCGCGGGGCUCAACCCCGCUCCGCCGUUGAAACUGUGUCCCUUGAGUGCGCGAAGGGUAGGCGGAAUGCGUGGUGUAGCGGUGAAAUGCAUAGAUAUCACGCAGAACUCCGAUCGCGAAGGCAGCCUACCGGCGCGCAACUGACGCUCAUGCACGAAAGCGUGGGUAUCGAACAGGAUUAGAUACCCUGGUAGUCCACGCAGUAAACGAUGAAUGCUAUCUGUCCGGCCGGAAUGACGGCUGG
Molecule: ribosomal RNA, 636 nt
Filed under: uncultured bacterium
Lineage: Bacteria
Description: bacterial SSU rRNA
Rfam family: Bacterial small subunit ribosomal RNA
Source: RNAcentral